GGGGUUGUCGUUCAGAGGUAGAUUGCUAGCCUAGCAUGCAUGAGGCACUGGGUUCAAUCCUCAGCACCACA
This 71-nucleotide transfer RNA is filed under the name Marmota monax (woodchuck). Its description in RNAcentral is "tRNA.Ala". The record is from RNAcentral. Lineage: Eukaryota; Metazoa; Chordata; Mammalia; Rodentia; Sciuridae.